Molecule: ribosomal RNA, 459 nt
Filed under: uncultured bacterium
Lineage: Bacteria
Description: partial 16S ribosomal RNA
Rfam family: Bacterial small subunit ribosomal RNA
Source: RNAcentral
CCUACGGGGGGCAGCAGUGAGGAAUAUUGGUCAAUGGCCGGAAGGCUGAACCAGCCAAGCCGCGUGAAGGACGAAGGUGCCAAGCAUUGUAAACUUCUUUUGUCAAGGGACAAAAUCAGGCUCGAGAGCCUGACCGAGGGUACUUGAAGAAAAAGUAUCAGCUAACUCCGUGCCAGCAGCCGCGGUAAUACGGAGGAUGCGAGCGUUAUCCGGAUUUAUUGGGUUUAAAGGGUGCGUAGGCGGACUGUUAAGUCAGCGGUAAAAGCCCGGGGCUCAACCCCGGCGAGCCGUUGAAACUGGCGGUCUUGAGAUGUCGAGAGGUAUGCGGAAUGCGCAGUGUAGCGGUGAAAUGCUUAGUUAUUGCGCAGAACUCCGAUUGCGAAGGCAGCAUACCGGCGGCGAUCUGACGCUGAGGCACGAAAGCGUGGGUAUCGAACAGGAUUAGAUACCCCUGUAGUC